UCGGUCUACAAUGACCACCGGUACCUCCUCAUGGGAUAGAUCAUCUUCGAAUGAAAGGGGCUCGUGGACCAAGAUGUGAGAGAGGUCCGAGUUGUAUUUGCAUAACAUAGACACAUGAAACACAUUAUGGACUCUGGAUAGUUCUGAAGGUAGUGCAGUUUGUAGGCGGCAGUACCAAUUCUGUCUAAGAUCUCAAUUGGCCCAAUAACCAAGGAUUUAGUUUUUUCCUUUUGCCAAACUUACAGAUUCUCUUGGAAUGGGUGACCUUGAAGAACACUCGAUCACCUUUCUCAAAUUCCAAAUCCCUCAUCCGGGUUUCUGCAUAACUCUUCUGCCUGCUUUAAGCUGUCUGGAUAUUCUUGUUGAUCUUAACUAUUUUAGCUGUAGUCUUAUCUACAAGAUUUGGACCUAUCACC
RNAcentral lists this long non-coding RNA (416 nucleotides) under Carica papaya (papaya). RNAcentral describes it as "long non-coding RNA (CPAP_LNC016629)". Lineage: Eukaryota; Viridiplantae; Streptophyta; Magnoliopsida; Brassicales; Caricaceae. The record is from RNAcentral.